GAUGAACGCUGGCGGCGUGCCUAAUACAUGCAAGUCGAGCGAACAGAUAAGGAGCUUGCUCCUUUGACGUUAGCGGCGGACGGGUGAGUAACACGUGGGUAACCUACCUAUAAGACUGGAAUAACUCCGGGAAACCGGGGCUAAUGCCGGAUAACAUUUAGAACCGCAUGGUUCUAAAGUGAAAGAUGGUUUUGCUAUCACUUAUAGAUGGACCCGCGCCGUAUUAGCUAGUUGGUAAGGUAACGGCUUACCAAGGCAACGAUACGUAGCCGACCUGAGAGGGUGAUCGGCCACACUGGAACUGAGACACGGUCCAGACUCCUACGGGAGGCAGCAGUAGGGAAUCUUCCGCAAUGGGCGAAAGCCUGACGGAGCAACGCCGCGUGAGUGAUGAAGGUCUUCGGGUCGUAAAACUCUGUUAUUAGGGAAGAACAAAUGUGUAAGUAACUGUGCACGUCUUGACGGUACCUAAUCAGAAAGCCACGGCUAACUACGUG
RNAcentral lists this ribosomal RNA (497 nucleotides) under uncultured bacterium. RNAcentral's name for it is "partial 16S ribosomal RNA". It matches the Rfam family "Bacterial small subunit ribosomal RNA", at positions 28 to 507 of the family's 1533-position model. The record is from RNAcentral.